AACGAACGCUGGCGGCAUGCCUAACACAUGCCAGUCGAACGAGACCUUCGGGUCUAGUGGCGCACGGGUGCGUAACGCGUGGGAACCUGCCCUUAGGUUCGGAAUAACUCCCCGAAAGGGGUGCUAAUACCGGAUAAUGUCUUCGGACCAAAGAUUUAUCGCCUUUGGAUGGGCCCGCGUUGGAUUAGCUAGUUGGUAGGGUAAAAGCCUACCAAGGCGACGAUCCAUAGCUGGUCUGAGAGGAUGAUCAGCCACACUGGGACUGAGACACGGCCCAGACUCCUACGGGAGGCAGCAGUGGGGAAUAUUGGACAAUGGGCGAAAGCCUGAUCCAGCAAUGACGGGUGAGUGAUGAAGGCCUUAGGGUUGUAAAGCUCCUUUACCCGGGAUGAUAAUGACAGUACCGGGAGAAUAAGCUCCGGCUAACUCCGUG
RNAcentral lists this ribosomal RNA (433 nucleotides) under uncultured bacterium. RNAcentral describes it as "partial 16S ribosomal RNA". It matches the Rfam family "Bacterial small subunit ribosomal RNA", at positions 29 to 507 of the family's 1533-position model. The record is from RNAcentral.